ACAUGCAGUCGAGGGGUAUUUGUAGCAAUACAGAGAGACCGGCGCACGGGUGAGUAACGCGUAUGCAACCUGCCCUUUACAGGGGGAUAGCCCGUAGAAAUGCGGAUUAAUACCCCAUAGUACUAUUAGAUCGCAUGGUUUGAUAGUUAAAGUUUCGGCGGUAAAGGAUGGGCAUGCGUGACAUUAGCUAGUUGGUGAGGUAACGGCUCACCAAGGCUACGAUGUCUAGGGGUUCUGAGAGGAAGAUCCCCCACACUGGUACUGAGACACGGACCAGACUCCUACGGGAGGCAGCAGUGAGGAAUAUUGGUCAAUGGGCGAGAGCCUGAACCAGCCAUCCCGCGUGCAGGAAGAAUGCCCUAUGGGUUGUAAACUGCUUUUUCGCAUGAAGAACAUCCCGGACGUGUCCGGGACUGACGGUAAUGCGUGAAUAAGCACCGGCUAACUCCGUGCCAGCAGCCGCGGUAAUACGGAGGGUGCAAGCGUUAUCCGGAUUUAUUGGGUUUAAAGGGUGCGUAGGCGGUGAUUUAAGUCAGUGGUGAAAUCCUGCAGCUCAACUGUAGAACAGCCAUUGAAACUGAAUUACUUGAGUAAUCUUGAGGUAGGCGGAAUGUGUAGUGUAGCGGUGAAAUGCUUAGAUAUUACACAGAACACCGAUUGCGAAGGCAGCUUACUAAGGAUUUACUGACGCUGAUGCACGAAAGCGUGGGGAUCAAACAGGAUUAGAUACCCUGGUAGAAUCACUAGUGAAUUC
RNAcentral lists this ribosomal RNA (754 nucleotides) under uncultured bacterium. Its description in RNAcentral is "bacterial SSU rRNA". It matches the Rfam family "Bacterial small subunit ribosomal RNA", at positions 53 to 809 of the family's 1533-position model. The record is from RNAcentral.